Molecule: non-coding RNA, 23 nt
Filed under: Cricetulus griseus (Chinese hamster)
Lineage: Eukaryota; Metazoa; Chordata; Mammalia; Rodentia; Cricetidae
Source: RNAcentral
AAGGAUAGCCUAAGAUAAUUUGG